Pogona vitticeps (central bearded dragon) is the source of this 356-nucleotide non-coding RNA. NCBI's taxonomy places the organism in Eukaryota, Metazoa, Chordata, Lepidosauria, Squamata, Agamidae. The record is from RefSeq and is a predicted model, not a curated record.
AGUGGAGAGACUUUGGUUGGUGGACAACUCAUUGUCAGAUCUAAGUGCCAUAUGCUUGCCAAGAUGCAAAGAACUGAAACUCAGCAAAAAUCAUUUUACAUCAUUCAAACAGCUGCCAAAACUACCCGUGAUCCAACAUCUGUCCUUAGAGGAGAACAAUAUUGAGACUCUGGAUGGAUUGUCAGACUUAAGACGCACUCCACUACAAUCUCUUGUACUCAUGAGGAACCCCUGUGAGUUUCAUGAAAACUACAGGCAACUCGUGUUCUGUAGCUUGCCAAACUUGAAAGUGCUAGAUGGAAUUGUGAAACUGCCAGAAGACUCUCCCCCACCAGAAACAAGUUUUCUCUCUAAAA